This 25-nucleotide non-coding RNA is filed under the name Bombyx mori (domestic silkworm). The record is from RNAcentral. Lineage: Eukaryota; Metazoa; Arthropoda; Insecta; Lepidoptera; Bombycidae.
UGAAACUUCAGAGUACCGUUGACAA